CAAUAGCGUAUAUUAAAGUUGUUGCAGUUAAAAAGCUCGUAGUUGGAUUUCGGGGUGGCCUGCCUGGUCCACCGCAAGGUGAGUACUGGUCAGCCGCCCUUCCUCUCGAAAGCCCCGACUGCUCUUCAUUGCAGUGGUCGGGUAGUUCGGGACGUUUACUUUGAAAAAAUUAGAGUGUUCAAGGCAGGCUGUCGCCUGAAUACAUUAGCAUGGAAUAAUGGAAGAGGACCUCGGUCCUAUUUUGUUGGUUUCUAGGGCCGAAGUAAUGAUUAAGAGGGACAGUUGGGGGCAUUCGUAUUUAAUUGUCAGAGGUGAAAUUCUUGGAUUUAUGAAAGACGAACUAGUGCGAAAGCAUUUGCCAAGGAUGUUUUCAUUAA
Molecule: ribosomal RNA, 377 nt
Filed under: uncultured eukaryote
Lineage: Eukaryota
Description: partial 18S ribosomal RNA
Rfam family: Eukaryotic small subunit ribosomal RNA
Source: RNAcentral